Molecule: ribosomal RNA, 254 nt
Filed under: uncultured bacterium
Lineage: Bacteria
Description: partial 16S ribosomal RNA
Rfam family: Bacterial small subunit ribosomal RNA
Source: RNAcentral
UACGGGGGGGGCAAGCGUUGUUCGGAAUUACUGGGCGUAAAGGGCUCGUAGGUGGCCAACUAAGUCAGACGUGAAAUCCCUCGGCUUAACCGGGGAACUGCGUCUGAUACUGGAUGGCUUGAGUUUGGGAGAGGGAUGCGGAAUUCCAGGUGUAGCGGUGAAAUGCGUAGAUAUCCGGAGGAACACCGGUGGCGAAGGCGGCUUCCUGGACCGAUUACUGACGCUGAGGCGCGAAAGCUAGGGGAGCAAACGGG